GCCGAAACACCGAAUGAAACAGCUGCCCCCACCGCUGGGUGCGAAGAGUUUAAGGAUUACCGAAAGAAACGUGCAUCGUCGACCGAAUCCAAGCCCCAACCAAGAAGGGUUUUAUAAGCUUCCGUCCCACAUAGCUCCAGCAACACAACUUAAUGACAUGCCUUUGCAAUGGAACAUCCACAUCAUUUCACCCCCCAAGCCUAGAGAUCGUCUCCAGCCUCAGCAUAAAGAUAGCCCACAUGCCACCAGUGCUUCGUCAAAACAUCCAAAUUUCCACCAACAGCCCGUGUCCAGCCUCAACAAAAGCACAGACGCCUGCUAGAAAUGUAUCAUCGAC
RNAcentral lists this long non-coding RNA (337 nucleotides) under Ricinus communis (castor bean). RNAcentral describes it as "long non-coding RNA (RCOM_LNC003682)". Lineage: Eukaryota; Viridiplantae; Streptophyta; Magnoliopsida; Malpighiales; Euphorbiaceae. The record is from RNAcentral.